GCAGUCCGUGCCGCCACUUCUCUCCACCUCCGCCGCCUAGCCUUAGCAGGGCCCCCGAUUCAUCCUCCAGGGCCUCCGCGGCGGGGAAAUCGUCCCCCCCAGACCCCCGGCGACCACCUCAAAGCCUCAGCAGCACGGAGCGCGCCAGCCUGAGAGCCGCCAUUUUGGACUCGCUCCGCCUCCCGCUGGAUGGUCGCCGGGGCGAGGCAGCACUAGCCGAGUGCUGAGCGGGCCGAUGCGGAAGCUCCGCCCCGUUGUAGCAGAGCGAUGGUCCCGGUGUUGACUCUCGGGCCUGGAAGGAUGCAGGAAACCGCGGCGCGGGGCGCAGGUGAAGGAUGGGCCAGAGGAGGCAGGUGCCUGGGGCCUCCUCGGGCCACUCGCUCGGAGGGGACCCGGGAGGGGACCGUCAGCGGUUCGGGGGCCGAAGAAGGAGCCAGGAUGUGGGUGUUAGAGAGAAGUGAGAACCCGAGAGGCUGUAAGGGCUACCAGAUCUUAAGGAGCUGCAGGAAAUCAGGGUUUUGUGAUCAGUAGCUCGAUCAAUGGAGAAGGCAAUGGCACCCCGCUCCAGUACUCUUUCCUGGAAAAUCCCAUGGACGGAGGAGCCUGGUGGGCUGCAGUCCAUGGGGUCGCGAAGAGUCGGACACAACUGAGCGACUUCACUUUCACUUUUCACUUUUAUGCAUUGGAGAAGGAAAUGGCAGCCCCCUCCAGUGUUCCUGCCUGGAGAAUCCCAGGGAUGGGGUCACACAGAGUUGGACAUGACUGAAGUGACUUAGCAGCAGCAGCAGCAGCUCGAUCAAUAUUUUUAACUAUUGAGAAUACAUUUUUAAAAAUCUUUUAUUCUGUUCAUUUAUUUGGCUGAGCUGGGUCCUGACUGUGACGUGUGGGCUUCUCAUUGGGGUGGCUUCUCCUGUUGCGGAGUGCAGGCUCUAGGUGCCUGGGCUUCAGUAGUUGUGACUCUAGGGCUCUAGAGAGUGGGCUCAGUACUUGUGGCUCAUGGGCUCAGUUGCUUUUUGGAAUCUGGAAUCUUCCCGAACCAGGGAUUUUGCCUGCAUUGGCAGGCAAAUUGUUAUUCACUGUACAUGCCACCAGGGAAGUCCUGGGAAUACAUUUGCAAGCCAGACUAAUCCCACAUUUAAGCUAGAUUCAGCCUAUAGGAAGCCAGGCUGUACUGACUCACCUACUCAGUCUUUACCCAUUUUUGCUUUUUUCUUGUAAAAGCUUCUGGAGUGUUCCUUCCUCCCCUCCCCUCCCCUCCUCCCUAGGCUGUGUUCCUCUGUUCUUGCACCUAUCACAGUGCAUUUAGUAUUUGAGUUCAUGUGCCUCUCCAAUAAAUUGUGAGUUGCUCCGUGACUCUACCUUCUCCUUUUAGGGACCAUUCCAGAACUUUGAACAUAAUAUUCAUUUUUUUGAAGUCCCAGAAAACCAACAGAAUGGAAAAUAUGAUACUGCAGCUAAAUGACAACCUGCAGACAAUGAGCAAUAUAGUAGGCGGCAGGGUGCCUUUAUUUUUCUCCACCGACAGUUCUGUCCCCAAGAUUAUCAAGGACCUUCUGGAUGCUAAAUCUCUGGGACACUUUUCAGUCCUAUCCUUGCUUGACCAUUUUGUAGCCGUUUGAUAAUGUUGAACACUAUCUUAAUUUUGAAACUCUCUCUUCUGUUCCUUUAAUACUUCUGGAAACUCCUUUUACAUCUCUUAUAUCGCCUCUCUGUGUGUUUUAACCCCUUAAUCUUUUAUUUUGGACAUUUUCAAACCUACAGAAACACUGAAACAGAAGUACAAACACAGGUACACACAUCACCUAGAUUCACCAAUUGUAAAUAUUUUGCCACAUUUACUAUAUAUAUCUAUACAUGCACACAUGUAGAGCUUUUUUUUUUUUUUUUUUUUCAGAAGAGUUUGAAAGUAAAUUGCAAACAUCUUGACAUUUAACCCGGAAAUACUCCAGCAUGUAUCUCCCCAGAGAUGGACAUUCCCCUCUAUAACCGUGUCAUGGAUUCAGUUCUCCAGUUCUGGGGUGGAGAUUGACCUGCAG
Molecule: long non-coding RNA, 2036 nt
Filed under: Cervus hanglu yarkandensis (Yarkand deer)
Lineage: Eukaryota; Metazoa; Chordata; Mammalia; Artiodactyla; Cervidae
Description: lncRNA (ENSCHYG00000022082.1)
Source: RNAcentral